GAAGAGCGCCUAGCCUUCAGCAUGGGAGAGUGCUGCCAACAGAGACGGUUGUAAAUUGUGGGCAGAGAGAAAUUCUUUCUAAACUGAAGAGUGAGAAAGAGGAAACAAACCUUCUAAACUGGGAGGGAGAGAAAAUAUGCUUGUUGGGAAAAAAGAAUAGAGAGACCCACUUCUUGCUUAGGGGAAGGAGAAGAAACAUGUCUCUAAAGAGACUUCAGAAAUGGUGACUUCAGAAACCGAGAGAUGAUGGUGAGAGAGGAAGAGAAUUCCUUAAAAGAGGUGGACGCUAGAGCUCCGUACCCGAAAGUCAGACCCUCCGCUCCCAGGACUAGAAGACUGACGCUGAACUUCCUAAGACCAGGUGCCAAGUCUCAUCUACCUUGGUACAUUCAUCCCUGAGUACAACAUCCAGCACAGAGAAGACUCAAGAAAUGUUUGCUAAUGAAUGAAUGAUCUGGUAGAAAGAAAAAAGACUGGAGGUGUGACAACAGGAAAUUCAAAUGCUCCCCUGAGGAAAGAGAGAGAGAUGGUCCAGGAGACAGGAUCUGCGUUCACUUAGACAUGGCCUUACACUUGUUAUCCAGCCAAAGAUGACCCUGGACUCUCAUUUCCACAUCAUAGUGCUGGGAUUACAGCAAUGGAGAUGAUCACAGAAAACCACAAGUGGACACAAUGGACCGGGGGGAGCCCAGCUGUAAUGGACAUACCUACAUCACAGCUUCUGCAUCUAUGGCUCAGGAAAUGUUGAGGAAGAGCCGGGCAGAAAGAUUGUAAGAGCCAGAACACCAUGAAGUCAGGUGUGGAGCAGUGUCUACUAGGGAUGGCUUCACAAAGAAGACUGAACAGUGGCAGCAUCAAUGGACAUGCUAAUGUAGAAGGGGGAAAUUUGUGGAGUCCACCCCAAAGAACUGCAUGCAACUAAUGACUGCUGGGAAAGGGAGAAGUAGGCUCUUCCAGGGAUGAGCCAGCUUGUUGUUUGUCUAAUGAAGAGUGGCUAGCCCCAAAACCAUAUACAUACAGUUGAUAAAAGUGGAUUCAGUAGGUUGUAUUUACAUAUUUGUGCACACAUACACAUGUGUGUGCAUGCAACAAUAAUAA
Peromyscus leucopus (white-footed mouse) is the source of this 1098-nucleotide long non-coding RNA. RefSeq lists it as uncharacterized. The record is from RefSeq and is a predicted model, not a curated record. The transcript has 4 exons. Lineage: Eukaryota; Metazoa; Chordata; Mammalia; Rodentia; Cricetidae.